GAUGAACGCUGGCGGCGUGCCUAAUACAUGCAAGUCGAGCGAACAGACGAGGAGCUUGCUCCUCUGACGUUAGCGGCGGACGGGUGAGUAACACGUGGAUAACCUACCUAUAAGACUGGGAUAACUUCGGGAAACCGGAGCUAAUACCGGAUAAUAUAUUGAACCGCAUGGUUCAAUAGUGAAAGACGGUUUUGCUGUCACUUAUAGAUGGAUCCGCGCCGCAUUAGCUAGUUGGUAAGGUAACGGCUUACCAAGGCAACGAUGCGUAGCCGACCUGAGAGGGUGAUCGGCCAGACUGGAACUGAGACACGGUCCAGACUCCUACGGGAGGCAGCAGUAGGGAAUCUUCCGCAAUGGGCGAAAGCUUGACGGAGCAACGCCGCGGGAGUGAUGAAGGUCUUCGGAUCGUAAAACUCUGUUAUUAGGGAAGAACAAAUGUGUAAGUAACUAUGCACGUCUUGACGGUACCUAAUCAGAAAGCCACGGCUAACUACGUG
RNAcentral lists this ribosomal RNA (497 nucleotides) under uncultured bacterium. RNAcentral describes it as "partial 16S ribosomal RNA". It matches the Rfam family "Bacterial small subunit ribosomal RNA", at positions 28 to 507 of the family's 1533-position model. The record is from RNAcentral.